UUUAUCAAUUUACCUACUUAUAAUUAAAAUAUUUUCAAAGCUAUGUGAUUUAGAAGUUAUUUUUUGACAGCAAAUAUGUACAGUGCACAUGAAACUACCCAAAUUCGUCGAUUACCGCCGCAAUGCGACGCCACGCCGCCACCGUUAGAUAUCCAGUUGGUUAGCGGAACAAUGCAUUUCAAGAAUGUUACCUACCAGCGAACAAGUUGCCGAAUGGAGAGCCGCCGAAGAAUUCUCUAAACACUUCCUCGGGAUCGCGGAAUGUGAAUGGGAAGCUGGCGUAUCCGAAGUCAUAGUCGUCGUCCACUCCCGAACGCCUGCCUCUACCACUGUUCAAUCCUUCUUUUCCGUACUGGUCAUAGACACGCCGUUUCCUUUCUGUACAAAAAAAGUAUUAAUUAACAUCAAUACAAGUAUCGGUAGAAGAAACUAUUUUGCAACACUCUUGACAACUUAACAUUUUCUUUCGGCGGCGGUGGCGGUCUUAAUGCGACCGAAUCCAAUCAUACUGGACUUAAAAGAGACGAACCAAAUUGUUUUGUUUGUCAAGCACAUGUCAACGGGAAUUAUUAGCUAAAUAAAGCCAAAUAGUUUAAGUUUUGA
Plodia interpunctella (Indianmeal moth) is the source of this 603-nucleotide long non-coding RNA. RefSeq lists it as uncharacterized. The transcript is spliced from 2 exons. The record is from RefSeq and is a predicted model, not a curated record. NCBI's taxonomy places the organism in Eukaryota, Metazoa, Arthropoda, Insecta, Lepidoptera, Pyralidae.